RNAcentral lists this ribosomal RNA (466 nucleotides) under uncultured bacterium. RNAcentral's name for it is "partial 16S ribosomal RNA". It matches the Rfam family "Bacterial small subunit ribosomal RNA", at positions 339 to 795 of the family's 1533-position model. The record is from RNAcentral.
CUACGGGAGGCUCCAGUGGGGAAUAUUGGACAAUGGGGGAAACCCUGAUCCAGCAAUGCCGCGUGUGUGAAGAAGGCCUGCGGGUUGUAAAGCACUUUCGGUUGGGAGGACUGCUUCUAGCACUAAUAUUGUUGGAAGUUGACGUUACCUUCAGAAGAAGCACCGGCUAACCCCGUGCCAGCAGCCGCGGGUAAUACGGAGGGUGCAAGCGUUAAUCGGAAUUACUGGGCGUAAAGCGCGCGUAGGCGGCUAGAUCAGUCGGGUGUGAAAGCCCCGGGCUUAACCUGGGAACUGUAUCCGAUACUGUCUAGCUUGAGUACAGGAGAGGAGAGUGGAAUUCCACAUGUAGCGGUGAAAUGCGUAGAUAUGUGGAGGAACACCAAUGGCGAAGGCAGCUCUCUGGCCUGAUACUGACGCUGAGGUGCGAAAGCGUGGGGAGCAAACAGGAUUAGAUACCCGCGUAGUC